UCGCUGUCACCUUUGGAGCGCGAGCAGAGGUGGCUCGUGUCUUCUGCUUUUCUUUUUCUGUCGUAGACGACGCGACAAGAGCUGGAAACGUACGCGCGCUCUCUCCCGUUCUGGGUAACGAAAGACAGGUGUACUCGCAAAACACACAGAGAGUGUGUGCGGGGGGGGGGCGGGGGCUACACUAAAUGAGUGGACACGCCCACAAACUUGAGGCACACUGCACAAGGAAACUACGUAGUCACCUCUCCGCCACCUCCGCAUAAAAAGGGUAACACACGCAAUCUCGGCCACGGAACAGCCAAGCGCCACACACUCCCCCGGCCGUCUUUAAUGGUAAGGGAUAAGCAAGAGUUGGUGUCGCCGGCCCCGUCAGCUAAGCCAUCUCCCCCCUCCCCCCGGCCCCCUCCCUCUCGCAACACAUUAGGCCAGCUUGUCAGAUUAAGAGCAGAGCCAUGCUGCUCAGCGAUGCGGAGGCCAAGAUCACGGCGGUGCUGAAGUCACUUCUCGACACCCCCCGCACUACCUAUGAGGUGGAGAACCUCUAUCAGUUGAACUGCGAGCGCAUCGCCGCCGUCCGCGCAGCACUGGCUGACAUGAGUGGCGACUACGUUGAGCAACUGCGCGAGAGGUGCGGCGAGGCAGAAAAGCAGGCACAGGCGAAGCGCGCCGCCGGCGUGGCCAACACGGCCGCCGCUGACAACGCCUUCUCUCUCGACUUUGCUCUGGACGAGGCGGAGGGGCAGAACGAGGCGGAAAUCGAGUCGGCGAUGGCCGCGGCAGCACACGGCAGCAGGCGACCAAAGAAGUCAACUGGAAAGGAAAAGUCCAAGAAGAACGACGGGGAGGAGAGAGGCAAGAAGAAGAAACGGACUUUAGAUGAUGAACCGCCCGUGGCGCCACUCCCUGCCGGCGGAAGCAGCUGCGAAGACAACGCUGCUGACAAGGCUACAUCGUCUCCGUCGACGAGGUGGGUGGUGCUGUCCCGCGAUGACGACCUCAUCAGUAGCGAAGUUCUGCCGGCGCUGUCGACGAGUGGCCGAGGAAAGUGCGAAGCGGUGCCAAACACUCCUCUGGCGCGAGUCUUUUUCACUGAGGAAGUGGUCCGGGAGGGCGCGUCAUGCCAGUGCGCGGUGGAGCUCUACCGGUGCGUGGUGAUCGCCAUGACGUGUGGCGAGCCGCAGCUGAGCUGGGCGGAGUGCGAGAAGAUGAUGCAAGCUCAAGCAGCGGCGGCAUCAAAAGCAGGCACCAUCGAGGACGAGUGUUUCUACUCCCGCUCUGGGAAGUGCGCCGGUGCCAGAUCGCCAAAGACGUCUUCGGAUGGAGACGGUGAGGGCACCGAAGACGCCAGCGCGUCUUUCAUCGAGGACAUGACCCUAUCAGAGCAGCUGAUCGCCCAGUACGAUCAUGCACAGCAGGCGGAGGAGGAGGACGCGGACACAUUGACUCUUCCGCGCGACGUCUCAGAGCGCUUCCAGCAGCGUCUCCGUGGCUUCACAGACGAAGUGUGGGUCGUUCUUCUCUGCCACGGCGGGUAUUUUGCCGGCGGUGUAUUCGCGAGAGGCACCUGCAUCACUCACAAGGCGUUUCAGCGCUAUGUAGUCCGUAAGAAGCAAGGCGGCAAGCAGUCCUCGAACGCGAAGGAAGCGGGGAGCUACAACAGCGUCGGAUCGCAAAUCCGCGCCGCACAGGAGGUAAAGUGGCGCGUCGAUGUGCGCGACAUUCUGCUGGACUGGAUGCCCUACAUCCAGGCCGCUUCUUUCAUUCUCUACGCCGCCCCAGGCCCUCAAAACAGAGCUGUUCUAACCGACUUUUCCCUCCUUCCCGCGGUGGCGUCGGUCGGGGGUAGAAAAGGCGUCUCGCCCAUUCAGCUGAAGGACCCGCGAGUGAGCCGAGUGCCAUUCACGACACACCGGCCCACCUUUGAGGAGGUGCUGCGCAUCUAUGGGGUAUGCUCGCGCUGCAGCUUACUCUACGUGAGACAAGAUGCGUAAAAAAGAAACAGAAGCUAAUCUUCGAGCUCACUGGAUGAAGUGCACAAAAGCUGCCAGGACCCACAAACAGCGUGCGAAUCUGAUGGGCAGUGAGGUGAGCACUAAAGAAUGCCGACGAAGCGGCAUGCAUGGUACUUAUGUUUGCGUUUGUGUGCGUGUUGGUGCAACAAUACCCCCUUCCCCCCGCCUUAAUCGACCUCAGCGUGGUUGUAUUGCGCACGCAGCCCCUUGGGGCAAGUUCACUCG
RNAcentral lists this unclassified non-coding RNA (2237 nucleotides) under Leishmania donovani. RNAcentral describes it as "gene:LdHU3.35.6700(CDS-product:hypothetical_prote in_conserved)". Lineage: Eukaryota; Euglenozoa; Kinetoplastea; Trypanosomatida; Trypanosomatidae. The record is from RNAcentral.